GGAAUCUGAGGCAGCACCUGCUGCUUCUGUGGCUGCUUCUGCUCUUGCGCCAUCGGAAUCCCCACUAUUCACCAUCGAUCCUUUUCCUACUGAUUCUUCACAAUCACCUAUGGAUCCUUUCCCUACCAAUUCUACACAAUUACCUGUGGAUCCUUUUCCUACCGAUACUUCACAUUUACCUUUCGACCCCUUUCCUACCAAUUCUACACAAUUACCUAUGGAUCCUUUUCCUACCGAUACCUCACAUUUUCCUCUAGAUCCCUUUCCUAGCGAUGCUUCAAAUUUACCAUCGGAUUCUGAAUAUUAGAGAAAGAGAGAGAAAAGAAAAGGGUAUGCUUUUCUCUUUACUUCUACUUGCAUAAGCUUUUGUAUGACAUUCAUAUAUGUAUUUUCGAUUUCUUUGAUGUUCUGUUGUGUCAGUUAGGGGAUUAGAUGCUAAUACAUGUUGUAUGUUCUUUUCUUCUGCUGAGAGAUAGUAGAUUAAUCAAAGAAUACUUAUUUCUGCUGAUCUUGGCAAUUCAGUGGUGACUUGUGUGUUCAAUUAACUUAUGUUGUAAAUGUGAUUGAAGUUGCUUUCCUCUGUUCA
RNAcentral lists this long non-coding RNA (586 nucleotides) under Populus tremula. Its description in RNAcentral is "long non-coding RNA (PTRE_LNC000623)". The record is from RNAcentral. Lineage: Eukaryota; Viridiplantae; Streptophyta; Magnoliopsida; Malpighiales; Salicaceae.